This 761-nucleotide ribosomal RNA is filed under the name uncultured Bacteroidota bacterium. RNAcentral's name for it is "bacterial SSU rRNA". It matches the Rfam family "Bacterial small subunit ribosomal RNA", at positions 76 to 830 of the family's 1533-position model. The record is from RNAcentral. Lineage: Bacteria; Pseudomonadati; Bacteroidota.
GUGCUUGUACAUUUUGGACGUCGACCGGCGCACGGGUGAGUAUCGCGUAUCCAACCUGCCCUUUACUUGGGGAUACCCCGUUGAAAGACGGCCUAAUACCCGAUGUAAUUCAUUGAUGGCAUCAGAUAUGAAUAAAAGAUUUAUCGGUAAAGGAUGGGGAUGCGUCUGAUUAGCUUGUUGGUGAGGUAAAGGCUCACCAAGGCAACGAUCAGUAGGGGUUCUGAGAGGAAGGUCCCCCACAUUGGAACUGAGACACGGUCCAAACUCCUACGGGAGGCAGCAGUGAGGAAUAUUGGUCAAUGGGCGCAAGCCUGAACCAGCCAAGUAGCGUGCAGGAAGACGGCCCUAUGGGUUGUAAACUGCUUUUAUACGAGAAUAAUUUGAUGCACGUGUGCGUUAUUGCAUGUAUCGUAUGAAUAAGGACCGGCUAAUUCCGUGCCAGCAGCCGCGGUAAUACGGAAGGUCCAGACGUUAUCCGGAUUUAUUGGGUUUAAAGGGAGUGUAGGCGGUUUGUUAAGCGUGUUGUGAAAUUUAGGUGCUCAACAUUUAACUUGCAGCGCGAACUGUCAGACUUGAGUACACGCAACGUAUGCGGAAUUCAUGGUGUAGCGGUGAAAUGCUUAGAUAUCAUGAAGAACUCCGAUUGCGAAGGCAGCAUACGGGAGUGUAACUGACGCUUAAGCUCGAAGGUGCGGGUAUCGAACAGGAUUAGAUACCCUGGUAGUCCGCACAGUAAACGAUGGAUGCCCGCUGUUAGCGCC